RNAcentral lists this non-coding RNA (184 nucleotides) under Desulfovibrio sp. OttesenSCG-928-O18. RNAcentral describes it as "6S RNA". It matches the Rfam family "6S / SsrS RNA". Rfam says of the family: E. coli 6S RNA was the first non coding RNA to be sequenced, but its function was unknown until recently. It consists of 184 nucleotides that fold into an extended hairpin structure with a large single-stranded internal bulge. Lineage: Bacteria; Pseudomonadati; Thermodesulfobacteriota; Desulfovibrionia; Desulfovibrionales; Desulfovibrionaceae. The record is from RNAcentral.
UAUUCCCUGGAACGUAUGUGAUGCCUCGUUCACUGCAGGCCUCACAAGCAUUAAGAAUAGGGAAACAACGCUGAACUGGUGUGCAUGCCCGAUCUUUCGGGAAGCCUGAAGGGUCAGGGACGUUUCCCGCCGUAGGAGCAAAGGCCCUGCGGAGAACAAUCGCACACGACGUUCUGGGGCGCAA